AUGUGCAGGUCCAGGAUCAAGAGGAAAAUGCUAUUGAGCCCAGCAUUGGCAUCCCAGUGCACGACUAAACCUACUCUCUUUCUUCUACCUUCCUUUGAGUUCCAAAAUAAACUACUUUAUCUACCUACCCUUUCACUUAAUAUUAUUUAUCGUUGUAAUAAUACAGGGCUCAAGACAGUUCUUGCUCGACCACUUGAUCCACAUUUAUAUUUGUAA
Molecule: long non-coding RNA, 216 nt
Filed under: Prunus dulcis (almond)
Lineage: Eukaryota; Viridiplantae; Streptophyta; Magnoliopsida; Rosales; Rosaceae
Description: sRNA ncRNA
Source: RNAcentral